CCCUUCGGGGAGCCUAUACAGGUGUUGCAUGGCUGUCGUCAGCUCGUGUCGUGAGAUGUUCGGUUAAGUCCGCUAACGAGCGCAACCCUCGUCGUAUGUUAUAUGUGUCAUACGAGACUGCCGGUAAAAAGCCGGAGGAAGGUGAGGAUGAUGUCAAGUCAGCAUGACCUUUAUAUCCAGGGCUACACACACGCUACAAUGGUCUGUACAAUGGGUAGCCAAGCCGCGAGGCGGAGCCAAUCCUGAAAGCAGGCCUCAGUUCAGAUUGCAGUCUGCAACUCGACUGCAUGAAGCCGGAGUUGCUAGUAACCGCAGGUCAGCAAUACUGCGGUGAAUACGUUCCCGGGUCUU
RNAcentral lists this ribosomal RNA (351 nucleotides) under uncultured Anaerolineaceae bacterium. Its description in RNAcentral is "bacterial SSU rRNA". It matches the Rfam family "Bacterial small subunit ribosomal RNA", at positions 1016 to 1382 of the family's 1533-position model. The record is from RNAcentral. Lineage: Bacteria; Bacillati; Chloroflexota; Anaerolineae; Anaerolineales; Anaerolineaceae.